GAACAAUUAUUCAGGAGAAGGUUGAGUCGUUCUAAUUUGAAUAGAACAAUCAUCAUAUCUAACUGGCCGUCUCUAAUUCAAGUGGCAAAGAGCUUGGUGUUUCGUACUCGAGGAUUCAAGUUCAAAUCCUAGUUGAUUCGAACUAGUUUAUUUCUAGCUAAGUUUAUUUCUAAAUGAAAUGAACGAAAAGAAUAGCAUGCUACCUAUCUCGAUCCAUAUCUACGUUUAUUUUCAUUCCUUUGGCGAACUCAAAGCUUUAUUAAUUUAUAAUCAUGUUUUUUUUGCAAAUUAGUUUUAGUAGGUGUUCCAUUGCGAACUCAAAGCUUUAUUAAUUUAUAAUCAUGUUUUUUUUUGCAAAUUAGUUUUAGUAGGUGUUCCAUUUUAAGCACAUGCUCUUUACCCAUUUAACCUUCUUUAUUCAUCCAUCAAAAAUCAUUAUACUUACAAAAGUAUUGUUAACAUAAAAAAUCUGUUCACGUAAGUAUUUAAUCUCCUAGACAAUAUUAAUUUAUCCUAAAUUUAUUUAUUUUAUCUUUGUGCACUACAACAGAAUUAGGUUACAGGGACACAUGUUUGCGACACUUUUUAGUAAGUGUCCUAUUUAUGUUGAAAUUUAAAAAAAUAUCUGCUAAUGCCUAAAUAUAUAGCCCAAUCCAACCAAAAAUAAAAGAUUACUCUAAUCAACCCACCACACCGAGUCCAUUUGGCCCGAUUACAAACAGAAAAGAAAAAAAAAAAAGAAAAAUUAAUUGCCAUCUUUUCUUCUCUCUUCACUCAAUCUACUGAAAUUCUAGACGAAGAGCAUUUCUUGUCGUCCUCCUUCGCCACCACAGCCAACGAGAUAGAGUUUCGGCGGUUACUAAAUGUUUAAAUAAGUGUUAGUAAAUUAGCAGCACUCUUUUAGAUAAUAGCGACACUCUAUAACUGUCACUAUAUACCUAGCGACCCCACAUAUAGCAACACAUUUUAAAAAUGUCGGUAAUUUUAGCUAGCAGCAUUUUUUUGAUUUGUACCUAUAUUUAAAAAUGUCGCUAUAGACUGUUUUUGUUGUAGUGAUGGUCAAAUAAGGAUAGAUGAAAUUUAUUUUCUGAUUGUAAUAUUAUGCCUCUAAUUAU
Molecule: long non-coding RNA, 1115 nt
Filed under: Ananas comosus (pineapple)
Lineage: Eukaryota; Viridiplantae; Streptophyta; Magnoliopsida; Poales; Bromeliaceae
Description: long non-coding RNA (ACOM_LNC035859)
Source: RNAcentral